RNAcentral lists this ribosomal RNA (864 nucleotides) under Conicotenuis fusiformis. Its description in RNAcentral is "SSU rRNA". It matches the Rfam family "Eukaryotic small subunit ribosomal RNA", at positions 225 to 1095 of the family's 1831-position model. The record is from RNAcentral. Lineage: Eukaryota; Fungi; Ascomycota; Sordariomycetes; Phomatosporaceae.
AAUGCCCUUCGGGGCUCACUGGUGAUUCAUGAUAACUUGUCGAAUCGCAUGGCCUUGCGCCGGCGAUGGUUCAUUCAAAUUUCUGCCCUAUCAACUUUCGACGGCUGGGUCUUGGCCAGCCAUGGUGACAACGGGUAACGGAGGGUUAGGGCUCGACCCCGGAGAACGAGCCUGAGAAACGGCUAUUACAUCCAAGGAAGGCAGCAGGCGCGCAAAUUACCCAAUACCGACUCGGUGAGGUAGUGACGAUAAAUACUGAUACAGGGCUCUUUUGGGUCUUGUAAUUGGAAUGAGUACAAUUUAAAUCCCUUAACGAGGAACAAUUGGAGGGCAAGUCUGGUGCCAGCAGCCGCGGUAAUUCCAGCUCCAAUAGCGUAUAUUAAAGUUGUUGCAGUUAAAAAGCUCGUAGUUGAACCUUGGGCCUGGCUGGCCGGUCCGCCUCACCGCGUGCACUGGUCCGGCCGGGUCUUUCCCUCUGGGGAACCGCAUGCCAUUCACUUGGUGUGCCGGGGAACCAGGACUUUUACUUUGAAAAAAUUAGAGUGUUCAAAGCAGGCCUAUGCUCGAAUACAUUAGCAUGGAAUAAUAGAAUAGGACGCGUGGUUCUAUUUUGUUGGUUUCUAGGACCGCCGUAAUGAUUAAUAGGGACAGUCGGGGGCAUCAGUAUUCAAUUGUCAGAGGUGAAAUUCUUGGAUUUAUUGAAGACUAACUACUGCGAAAGCAUUUGCCAAGGAUGUUUUCAUUAAUCAGGAACGAAAGUUAGGGGAUCGAAGACGAUCAGAUACCGUCGUAGUCUUAACCAUAAACUAUGCCGACUAGGGAUCGGACGAUGUUAUUUUUUGACUCGUUCGGCACCUUACACGA